Long non-coding RNA from Sardina pilchardus (European sardine), 625 nucleotides. RefSeq lists it as uncharacterized. NCBI's taxonomy places the organism in Eukaryota, Metazoa, Chordata, Actinopteri, Clupeiformes, Clupeidae. The record is from RefSeq and is a predicted model, not a curated record. The transcript has 3 exons.
CUGUAGACUCGCUUCACUGCACUGCGCUCCGCUCCACUGCCACGUUGUUUCAGCUCGUCAAGUCCACCACUGCCAGGGCCUGCUUGUUUUUGGGUGAGUCGUCCAUGGUCACCAAGCUGUUCACCUCAACAUGUUGGUGCUGUUCUUCCUGGGUCUGGUUACAGGAACCGUAAAGAACUGGGCUCUUGAUCCUGCUGUGGAGCUUACUCACACAAAGAACCCACCGAGUGAGAGAUUGAAGUUGGGGGUGGACUACCCAAACCUUAAGAGGCAUCACAGCAUGAAUGAUAUUCAACCGUCUUUCUACACACUGAAAGACCAGAAGCCCGCGGACAACAGCAUGUCUUUAGCCUGCAGGGAGAAACCUUGACCUGCCAGAGAUCCAUGUAGUGCUGGAGCACUUCGGACUCCACCCCCUGCCACAUACUGUAACUGUGGUUUGCCAUGUUUCCUUGAGGAUCCUCCCUGCCAACCACUGAUGGGUCUUAUUCCCCCUGGCAGCAAGGACCUCAUGACUUGUUGUGAGCCUGCUCUCUUCACAGGUGGCUCAGAGUGUAGAUACAUACAUACGGAUAGAUAGAUAGAUAAAUAAUUGUUAUAGUUUGUUCAUUGUGUUCAUUUUGUG